CCCGCAGUAUAUUUUUGUGUUUUUGUGUCAAUUUAACAAAAGUCAAAUCACAGGAUUAUACUGUGAG
Non-coding RNA from Glossina fuscipes fuscipes, 67 nucleotides. The record is from Rfam. Lineage: Eukaryota; Metazoa; Arthropoda; Insecta; Diptera; Glossinidae.